RNAcentral lists this ribosomal RNA (253 nucleotides) under uncultured bacterium. RNAcentral describes it as "partial 16S ribosomal RNA". It matches the Rfam family "Bacterial small subunit ribosomal RNA", at positions 524 to 776 of the family's 1533-position model. The record is from RNAcentral.
UACGUAGGGCGCAAGCAUUGUCCGGAAUUAUUGGGCGUAAAGAGCUCGUAGGCGGCUUGUCACGUCGGGUGUGAAAGCCCGGGGCUUAACCCCGGGUCUGCAUUCGAUACGGGCAGGCUAGAGUUCGGUAGGGGAGAUCGGAAUUCCUGGUGUAGCGGUGAAAUGCGCAGAUAUCAGGAGGAACACCGGUGGCGAAGGCGGAUCUCUGGGCCGAUACUGACGCUGAGGAGCGAAAGCGUGGGGAGCGAACAUG